Molecule: ribosomal RNA, 497 nt
Filed under: uncultured bacterium
Lineage: Bacteria
Description: partial 16S ribosomal RNA
Rfam family: Bacterial small subunit ribosomal RNA
Source: RNAcentral
GAUGAACGCUGGCGGCGUGCCUAAUACAUGCAAGUCGAGCGAACGGACGAGAAGCUUGCUUCUCUGAUGUUAGCGGCGGACGGGUGAGUAACACGUGGAUAACCUACCUAUAAGACUGGGAUAACUUCGGGAAACCGGAGCUAAUACCGGAUGAUAUUUUGAACCGCAUGGUUCAAAAGUGAAAGACGGUCUUGCUGUCACUUAUAGAUGCAUCCGCGCUGCAUUAGCUAGUUGGUAAGGUAACGGCUUACCAAGGCAACGAUGCAUAACCGACCUGAGAGAGUGAUAGGCCACACUGGAACUGAGACACGCUCAAGACGCCUACGGGACGCCGCAGUAGGCAACCUUCCGCAAUGGGCGAAAGCCUGACGGAGCAACGCCACGUGUGUGAUGAAGGUCUUCGGAUCGUAAAGCUCUGUUAUUAGGGAAGAACAUAUGUGUAAGUAACUGUGCACAUCUUGACGGUACCUAAUCAGAAAGCCACGGCUAACUACGUG